AAACAACAUCGUUAGGACAUGUCCAUGGACUCCCUUUCGGUAGUAAGCUUUUGUUGCAUAUGUGAUCAACAGAUGAGAGAAGCCACCAUGCUAUGCCAUAGCAGACAGUUGAAGCAACUAUGGUUCCCACUAACUGAAGCUAAAAUAUCCCCGAAUAUCUUAGAAGUAUCUACUGUACCCCACCCCACUUGUAUUGCAUCUAAAUUCUUGGGAUAAUAGGAAUAACAGUAACGCAGAAGCAGGAGUAUAUGAUAAACUCAGUUGUUACCUUCAACAUUGAUAUCCAUUUCUAUCAAACUCAUUCAACUAUAAAGAUGGACUGAAUAAAAAUGCACAAGACACCUUCACUCUGGACCGCAUGCAGCUGAAAGUCUGCGUUGAACUUUAUAAUACGUAAUGCAAGUUUUUAUUUGUGACAAAACAUCUUUCUUCCAAUGUUCAAUCACGUCCAUUCUUGGGCCCGUAACUGGUAGGAAAAGUCAUUGCCACCUGCACGGGAAGACAAGUAUUUCCAGAAAAUGUGCCUCUGCCAUAUACAAAACAGGACAAAGACCUUGACCAGAGAUUAGUGGUGGAGAGCAGUCUUAAUUUUAAGACAAUGAUCCCAGUUCAGAAUAUAAUAUCUCCAUUGAAGGUGUCUUAAUCAAAUAUUACUAAAUCAGUUUAUAUGAAUAAGUUUAUAUAAUUUAUUUGUAUGUGUAGUAUUAUCAAUGAGAGUCUCUAAUUUCAAAUCAUGGAAAACAUGUAAACUGCUGAUAUUAAACCUUUCUUGUGGCUGAUUAUUCUGUAUUUCAGAUUUGGCAAAUUGUUCUGAAUAAGCUAUUUAUGUGAUGAACAUUUUAUCUGUUUAUACCA
Long non-coding RNA from Mangifera indica (mango), 855 nucleotides. RefSeq lists it as uncharacterized. The transcript has 2 exons. NCBI's taxonomy places the organism in Eukaryota, Viridiplantae, Streptophyta, Magnoliopsida, Sapindales, Anacardiaceae. The record is from RefSeq and is a predicted model, not a curated record.